RNAcentral lists this small nucleolar RNA (142 nucleotides) under Microcebus murinus (gray mouse lemur). RNAcentral describes it as "Small nucleolar RNA SNORA67 (ENSMICG00000030386.2)". It matches the Rfam family "Small nucleolar RNA SNORA67". Rfam says of the family: U67 belongs to the H/ACA class of snoRNAs which are thought to guide the sites of modification of uridines to pseudouridines. The record is from Rfam by way of RNAcentral. Lineage: Eukaryota; Metazoa; Chordata; Mammalia; Primates; Cheirogaleidae.
AUCAAAGGUGAUUCCCUCCCCAAGGGGUCUAUUAGUGCGUUUUUCAGGAACAUAGCAACUUGGAAUGCAAUCUGGCAUGGCUAAGCUAUUCAAGGGACAGGGGAUACUUAUUUAUUUUGCCUCUUUUUGGCUGCCUACAUGU